Melitaea cinxia (Glanville fritillary) is the source of this 354-nucleotide long non-coding RNA. RefSeq lists it as uncharacterized. The record is from RefSeq and is a predicted model, not a curated record. The transcript has 3 exons. NCBI's taxonomy places the organism in Eukaryota, Metazoa, Arthropoda, Insecta, Lepidoptera, Nymphalidae.
AAAAAGUUUCUACGAAACAAUACGGUAGAAGAUAAUAAAAUAGUACAGUCGAGUUCGUCUGGAGAGCACCCGGCGUCAAACGAAGAAACAUUAGAAAAAAAUUCAGAAGAAUUAAAAAAGAUCAACAAAAUGGAAUGGUUUAUGCAAACAAAGGACAGUUAUAACCACAUCAAAGUCAACCAAGACGCUCCUGAACUAAAUGAUCUUAUUCCAGCUGUAAACGAAGAUACUAUACGCAAAUGGUGGUUUUAUAAUGCGGAGGACUACAUACCAUUUCAAACUUGAAAACUAAAUCAUUGAAAUUCUUAUUAUUUUAUAUGAAUAUUUAAACGUAUGAAAUAAUAAUGCUGAUAU